This 253-nucleotide ribosomal RNA is filed under the name uncultured bacterium. Its description in RNAcentral is "partial 16S ribosomal RNA". It matches the Rfam family "Bacterial small subunit ribosomal RNA", at positions 524 to 776 of the family's 1533-position model. The record is from RNAcentral.
UACGUAGGGUGCAUGCGUUAAUCGGAAUUACUGGGCGUAAAGCGUGCGCAGGCGGUGAUGUAAGACAGUUGUGAAAUCCCCGGGCUCAACCUGGGAACUGCAUCUGUGACUGCAUCGCUGGAGUGCGGCAGAGGGGGAUGGAAUUCCGCGUGUAGCAGUGAAAUGCGUAGAUAUGCGGAGGAACACCGAUGGCGAAGGCAAUCCCCUGGGCCUGCACUGACGCUCAUGCACGAAAGCGUGGGGAGCAAACAGG